Molecule: ribosomal RNA, 440 nt
Filed under: uncultured bacterium
Lineage: Bacteria
Description: bacterial SSU rRNA
Rfam family: Bacterial small subunit ribosomal RNA
Source: RNAcentral
CCUACGGGCUGCAGCAGUGGGGAAUAUUGGACAAUGGGCGAAGGCCUGAUCCAGCAAUGCCGCGUGUGUGAAGAAGGUCUCCGGAUUGUAAUGCACUUUCGACGGGGACGAUGAUGACGGUACCCAUAGAAGAAGCCCCGGCUAACUUCGUGCCAGCAGCCGCGGUAAUACGAAGGGGGCUAGCGUUGCUCGGAAUGACUGGGCGUAAAGGGCGCGUAGGCGGUUUAUGCAGUCAGAUGUGAAAUCCCCGGGCUUAACCUGGGAACUGCAUUUGAGACGCAUAGACUAGAGGUCGAGAGAGGGUUGUGGAAUUCCCAGUGUAGAGGUGAAAUUCGUAGAUAUUGGGAAGAACACCGGUGGCGAAGGCGGCAACCUGGCUCGAUACCGACGCUGAGGCGCGAAAGCGUGGGGAGCAAACAGGAUUAGAUAACCCCGUAGUC